AUGUGCUCCGUCUGGAUCAGCGUGGAGCGCCACUGCUCCUGUGACCAUCUGCACGCCAUCAUCUCCACCUUCAGAGUUAGACCAACCAGCGCUCGGCAGAAAGGCAUCGAUAUACUGCAUUCCACCUGCCGCCGCUUGGAUGUGCUCUCUGUUGGACUACCGACCCAUGAAUUCUGCUUCCUACAGGAGUAUGAGGACCAGAAUGCCGUGCCACCUGCAAUGCUGGAGUAUCCAACCAGCUCUCCCGUCAUAGAAUCCUCCAAGAUGCUUGAUUGUUGCAGCAAUUUUCUAUCUGUAAAGCCGGGACAUUACGAGUUUGAGGAGCCUCCUAAGGACCCAGCUGUCCAGAUCAACAAGGACCUAUAUAUUAUUUGCGAAGCUCACUUCCAGACAAUUGUGUAUGUUGCCAAAACAGAGAACGGAAGGGUGAGAUCUCAUGACAAACUUCUCACGCAAAAGCAUGCUCUGGUCUUAUCUUACGACACCGACGAUUACUACCUUGUUCGGUAUCGGUCUCCUCCGUGGCACCUCGUCUUCAGCAGUCGCAGCUCCAACGCAUAUGUUGUCUCUAACACACAAGAUGGCAUAGAUGCAUACGGUCCAACUGAGGAGUCCAAGCUGUUUCCAUGCACGGAGCCUCCUGCUCCCGACCCUUUCUCUAUGGUUCUUGAGGUUGGUAACAGGAUCGUUGAGCUGAGCGAGACUCUCGGCGUUUCCUACCACGAUGGAUCCAAAUGGGUGUGUUGUAGGCACCGUGCAGAUGAAUCUCUUGCUUUGAACGGGAAGAUUGACCUGUCCGGAUAUGCGGUCCUGGGUGACAAUUCCUUCCUGGUAUCGGUGGCAGACACAUGUUCGUUCCUUAUGUUCGACUUGCGUUCCGAGAGAUGGGGCGUUGUGUGGCGUGCUUCUGCUUUGUGCGGAACCCAACUGUUGAAUGGGAGUGUUUGUUAA
This 951-nucleotide ribosomal RNA is filed under the name Triticum aestivum (bread wheat). RNAcentral describes it as "partial small subunit ribosomal RNA". Lineage: Eukaryota; Viridiplantae; Streptophyta; Magnoliopsida; Poales; Poaceae. The record is from RNAcentral.